This is a long non-coding RNA of Protopterus annectens (West African lungfish), 1703 nucleotides long. RefSeq lists it as uncharacterized. The record is from RefSeq and is a predicted model, not a curated record. The transcript is spliced from 4 exons. Lineage: Eukaryota; Metazoa; Chordata; Ceratodontiformes; Protopteridae.
ACUUUCAACAUUUAUUGGCAAAAGAUAUUUAUUACACAUGGUGGAAUACAUACAAUUUACAUUUGGCACCAUCUUUGGCGCUGAUAGUUUAAAAUGGCCUUGUCAGUAAUUAAAUGGUGCAGAUUAUACCUGUGAAAAACAUACACAACCCUGCUUUCAUCUACCCAUGUUUGACAUUUAUCUGACUCAGCAGUGCAGACAGUUCAGUUAUUCAUUUUAUUCAAUGCUGUUCAUUACUGAAAGCACUUGGCAGUAACAUCCUUGACAUCAAGAAGAGUAUCUGUAGAUUGUUGUUUGAGAAACACAAUGACUAAUGUAGGUUCAUAUUAAAAGAGAAACAAUGUGAGAAGGGCAAGGUGGAAUGGAACAUGUAAAGAAAGGGAAAGGACAGAGGGACAGACAGAACAAGGUGGGAAUAAGGAAAGAUCUACACAAACAUAAAACAUUUUCUUCUCAUCAUUUAUUUAUAUCAUUUGAUUUGUGAAAACACUGUUAGACAAAACACUGAAUGGUUAAAUGGCUUGCCCAAGCACACAGUAAGUGUCUGAGUUCAGCAUUGUCAGAACUUCUAGUCUUUACGUUCACAUAUCAGUACAGCUAUGAGCCCUUUUGUGGCCCUGUUCCACAUUUUCACAGACUGUAUGUAUUCUUACUUUUGACUCCACAUGUUAGCACAGAGAAAACACAACUUACAGAAGCCACAUAAACCUUUUUCCUCUAAUGAGGGUUCACCAAUAUCUCUUUAUAAAAUCUCUGUAUAACUGGACAUUUAAACUUUUAGAGAAACAUACAUCUCUAUAUAUAUCUAUAUAGGGUGAUUUCUUUUUAUCAUAGGAAAAUAUCUUUAACUUUUCGCUCUUUAGUAACACUGACAUAAAUCUGAUUGUUUCAUGAAAUGAGCUCUAUUCAAAAAAUAAAAUAACUGAUUGUCACAACACAACUGAUAAAAGUGUUUUCUUAUGAGUAGGAGUCAAAGGAAAAUUGUUCUGAUAGGCAAUGAACACGGCUCUGUUUUCAUCAUUACUGAUAAUUACUGAUAUGUAUGUAAUUAAUACGUUUAAAUCAAGUUUAUGCAAAUACUAACCACAUUGCCUCCACAUUUCUGCAUCAGAGUGUGAACAAAGCUUCCUUCAGACCAGAGCAAUAACUAUACUUAAUGUCUUUCUUAUGUGAACUUUAUUUCAUUCACUACAUCAUGUGGCCUGUCUCAGACCAAUACAGCCUUGUCUUGUAAUCUACAUCGACUGCAAAUUUUAUGAUAGGACACCCAUAGCCUCUUUUGGGCUGAGUGGCUGACCUCAGCUUUCGAACUGAGUAUCAAUUUAUGCAUUAGAGUGCGCUGGACCUUUCCAGUCUCUGUAUGUCUUGUGCUCUGCAAAACUAGACAGAAGAAUGCCUUGCUGGAUUGUACAUAGGUUUGCAAAUCUCGUUACUAAUGCUGGAUUGUACAUAGGUUUGCAAAUCUCGUUACUAAUGCUGGACUGUACAUAGGUUUGCAAAUCUCGUUACUAAUGCUGGACUGUACAUAGGUUUGCAAAUCUCGUUACUAAUGCUGGACUGUACAUAGGUUUGCAAAUCUUGUUACUAAUGCUGGACUGUACAUAGGUUUGCAAAUCUCGUUACUAAUGCUGGACUGUACAUAGGUUUGCAAAUCUUGUUACUAAUGCUGGACUGUACAUAGGUUUGCAAAUCUUGUUACUAAU